GAUGAACGCUGGCGGCGUGCCUAAUACAUGCAAGUCGAGCGAACAGACGAGGAGCUUGCUCCUCUGACGUUAGCGGCGGACGGGUGAGUAACACGUGGAUAACCUACCUAUAAGACUGGGAUAACUUCGGGAAACCGGAGCUAAUACCGGAUAAUAUAUUGAACCGCAUGGUUCAAUAGUGAAAGACGGUUUUGCUGUCACUUAUAGAUGGAUCCGCGCCGCAUUAGCUAGUUGGUAAGGUAACGGCUUACCAAGGCGACGAUGCGUAGCCGACCUGAGAGGGGGAUCGGCCACAGUGGAACUGAGACACGGUCCAGACUCCUACGGGAGGCAGCAGUAGGGAAUCUGCCGCAAUGGGCGAAAGCCUGACGGAGCAACGCCGAGUGAGUGAUGAAGGUCUUCGGAUCGUAAAACUCUGUUAUUAGGGAAGAACAAAUGUGUAAGUAACUAUGCACGUCUUGACGGUACCUAAUCAGAAAGCCACGGCUAACUACGUG
This 497-nucleotide ribosomal RNA is filed under the name uncultured bacterium. Its description in RNAcentral is "partial 16S ribosomal RNA". It matches the Rfam family "Bacterial small subunit ribosomal RNA", at positions 28 to 507 of the family's 1533-position model. The record is from RNAcentral.